UCCUGGCUCAGGAUUAACGCUGGCGGCAUGCCUAAUACAUGCAAGUCGAAUGGGGAGCUUGCUUCCCAUGGCGAACGGGUGAGUAAUACGUAGGUAACCUACCUUUAGGACGAGGAUAACCUUUGGAAACGAAGGAUAAUACUGGAUAGUAUAGAUUUCCGCAUGGAGAUAUAUUUAAAGAUUUAUCACCUAGAGAGGGGCCUGCGGUGCAUUAGCUAGUUGGCGGGAUAAAAGCCCACCAAGGCGAUGAUGCAUAGCCGGACUGAGAGGUUGUACGGCCACAAUGGAACUGAGAACGGUCCAUACUCCUACGGGAGGCAGCAGUAGGGAAUUUUCGGCAAUGGGCGGAAGCCUGACCGAGCAAUGCCGCGUGAGUGAAGAAGGCCUUAGGGUCGUAAAGCUCUUUCGCCUGUGAAGAUAAUGACGGUAGCAGGUAAAGAAACCCCGGCUAACUCCGUGCCAGCCGCCGC
This 470-nucleotide ribosomal RNA is filed under the name uncultured bacterium. Its description in RNAcentral is "bacterial SSU rRNA". It matches the Rfam family "Bacterial small subunit ribosomal RNA", at positions 17 to 518 of the family's 1533-position model. The record is from RNAcentral.